AUACCCUAUUAUUUUUAAUGUAAAAUUUUAAAGCUAGAGUAUUAAUAGUUAUGAUCUUUAAACUUAAAGAAUUUGGCGGUAUUAUAGUCUAUUUAGAGGAAUCUGUUAUGUAAUCGAUAGACCACGUUGAACCUUACUUAUAUAAUUUUUUUUGUAUAUCGUUGUUUAAGUGAAUAUUUUUAGAUUAAUUUUCUUAAUAUAUAAAUAAUUAGAAUUUCAAAUCAAGGUGCAGUAAUAUAUAAGUUGAGUAAUGGAUUACAAUAAAUUAUAUUUAAAUGAAUAAUUAUUGGAAUAAUAAUUUGAAGGUGGAUUUAAUAGUAAUCUUAUAAAGAUUAAUAAGUUGAUUAAAGCUCUAUAAUAUGUACACAUCGC
Molecule: ribosomal RNA, 372 nt
Filed under: Metriomantis sp. MN542
Lineage: Eukaryota; Metazoa; Arthropoda; Insecta; Mantodea; Mantidae
Description: partial 12S ribosomal RNA
Source: RNAcentral